AGCUAUGCAAAAUCAAAUUUAAAACAAAAUAUUCUUCUCUUUUUGCUAUAAGAUAGAUUAAUAAAAUACAAGAUAAAUAGUAAGAUGUCUGAUACUAAUUAUAUCUAGCUUUAAAAUAAAUGGUAACUUACUUGAAAAAUUCAGUUCGAUACCAAUGUCAAAAGAUUUAAGAAGAGUAUUUCUCAAAUUCAAUUUUUGAAAAUAAUCAAUCGAAGUAAAAAUAAUAGA
This 228-nucleotide long non-coding RNA is filed under the name Elaeis guineensis (African oil palm). RNAcentral's name for it is "long non-coding RNA (EGUI_LNC028244)". The record is from RNAcentral. Lineage: Eukaryota; Viridiplantae; Streptophyta; Magnoliopsida; Arecales; Arecaceae.